Molecule: unclassified non-coding RNA, 353 nt
Filed under: soil metagenome
Description: partial contains 5.8S ribosomal RNA, internal transcribed spacer 2, and large subunit ribosomal RNA
Rfam family: 5.8S ribosomal RNA (bases 1-120)
Source: RNAcentral
GAUGAAGAACGUAGCGAAAUGCGAUAAGUAAUGUGAAUUGCAGAAUUCAGUGAAUCAUCGAAUCUUUGAACGCACAUUGCGCCCGCCAGUAUUCUGGCGGGCAUGCCUGUUCGAGCGUCAUUACAACCCUCAGGCCCCCGGGCCUGGCGUUGGGGAUCGGCGGAAGCCCCCUGCGGGCCCAACGCCGUCCCCCAAAUACAGUGGCGGUCCCGCCGCAGCUUCCAUUGCGUAGUAGCUAACACCUCGCAACUGGAGAGCGGCGCGGCCACGCCGUAAAACACCCAACUUCUGAAUGUUGACCUCGAAUCAGGUAGGAAUACCCGCUGAACUUAAGCAUAUCAAUAAGCGGAGGA